AUGCGCCCCCGCCGGGGUCACCACGGCGGCGAACGUCCCGGACUUCGCAUCCCGGGGACCCCUUGGGAAGAACCGAAGCCCGAUCUGCACCUUGGCCGUAGCAAGCGCGCUCCACGCCGCCACCAGCGGUGGCUCCCGGGUCCUCUGUCGCCCUGGCCUCCCCGCAGGCGGGUUUCGAGGCCCCCGCAGGGAGUUCAGGGCCACGGCCACGUGCAGCCGCCCCCGAGCCCGAGUUUGCAGGCUCGGGGUCCGGCCUGCGCUUCGGUGGCGCCCGGCGAGGCUGCAGCGCGCAAAGUUCCCACCUCAAGUUCCCGUCGCGGCGUCCCCGCCUCGGAGUUGGCCCGGCCGCGGCUUCCGUCCCCCGGCUGCCCACGGGUCCGGGGCGAGGACGCGAGAGGGCCUGGAAGCCGCCCGGGGCGUCCGCUCUGCCUCCCGGAGCCGCCGCCAAACUUCGGUCCCGGGGCCCGGCUCAGCUCCCGCCCUAGGAGCCACGGCCGCCCCGUCUCUGCCUCCCGGUCCCCGCCGGGCUCCGAGUGCGCCGGGAGGCGCGGCAGCCGCCGAGGGAGGAGCGGGGCAGGAGGCGGGACGGAGGGAGGGACUGAGCGCGGGGCGGGGAGAAGGGCGGGCAGCCGAGAGCUCGGCGCCGGGCCUCGCCCGGCUUCGGGACAGUGGCAGCGGCACCACCGUCACGGGGCGUCCAGGCACCCAAUCGGGACCCCGCACCUUGGAUCCGGGGUCCUUGGCGCGCCUGCUGGAUUGCGCUCCUCGCGGCACGUUCCUGAGCCCGAGUCUGGGACGGCUGGUGCUACGCCCUCCCUUCCGUUGCCUUCUUCCCGGUCUGCUUUCCCAGGAUGGCCCACCCUGCGGCCCCUUCGGCUGCACGCGCCAGCCUUUAAGGUCCCUGCGCUCCGCUGCCCUGCAGCUUCACGCACCAGGCGGCGCGGCAGCCUCCUCCGGUGGUGCGCCCUGUCAGCUUUCGCCGCGGUACAAGUGCGCCGGUGGUCCAGGGUCCGGGCCCCUAGCAACACCGCCCCAGGGUCUACAUGUGCCAGAUAUUAA
This 1059-nucleotide long non-coding RNA is filed under the name Macaca fascicularis (crab-eating macaque). RNAcentral's name for it is "lncRNA (ENSMFAG00000061187.1)". Lineage: Eukaryota; Metazoa; Chordata; Mammalia; Primates; Cercopithecidae. The record is from RNAcentral.